UGCCGGGUCGUCCAACGGCAGGACCGCGGCCUUUGACGCCGUUAAUCUUGGUUCGAAUCCAAGCCCGGCAACAA
RNAcentral lists this transfer RNA (74 nucleotides) under Fidelibacterota bacterium. Its description in RNAcentral is "tRNA-Gln". It matches the Rfam family "tRNA". From Rfam's summary of the family: Transfer RNA (tRNA) molecules are approximately 80 nucleotides in length. The record is from RNAcentral. Lineage: Bacteria; Pseudomonadati; Fidelibacterota.